UAGACCGUACUCUUCAGGAUCAUAUUCCAUAGUAUUGAGUCUAUAGUCUUGUAUCCCUUAAACAAGACGAGCCCACUGGGUAUGGAUGAUGACGCCUGUCCCUUGCUCCUGAGCGCGAAGUGCUGCGUUGCGCACACAGUGCCUGCAUCGCCCCUCGGGGCCGUUGCAUGGUCUGGCGCAACGCGUUGAUGACCGUUCCUUUACACCGUAAUGCCAAGGGUUGGGUGUGGGAUGGAGCGAGUGGA
Molecule: small nucleolar RNA, 245 nt
Organism: Acanthamoeba castellanii str. Neff
Lineage: Eukaryota; Discosea; Longamoebia; Acanthamoebidae
Rfam family: Small nucleolar RNA U3
About the family: Small nucleolar RNAs (snoRNAs) are involved in the processing and modification of rRNA in the nucleolus. There are two main classes of snoRNAs: the box C/D class, and the box H/ACA class.
Source: Rfam